AGUGAACGCUGGCGGUAGGCCUAACACAUGCCAGUCGAACGGCAGCACAGUAAGAGCUUGCUCUUACGGGUGGCGAGUGGCGGACGGGUGAGGAAUACAUCGGAAUCUACUUUUUCGUGGGGGAUAACGUAGGGAAACUUACGCUAAUACCGCAUACGACCUACGGGUGAAAGCAGGGGAUCUUCGGACCUUGCGCGAUUGAAUGAGCCGAUGUCGGAUUAGCUAGUUGGCGGGGUAAAGGCCCACCAAGGCGACGAUCCGUAGCUGGUCUGAGAGGAUGAUCAGCCACACUGGAACUGAGACACGGUCCAGACGCCUACGGGAGGCAGCAGUGGGGAAUAUUGGACAAUGGGCGCAAGCCUGAUCCAGCCAUACCGCGUGGGUGAAGAAGGCCUUCGGGUUGUAAAGCCCUUUUGUUGGGAAAGAAAAGCAGCAGGUUAAUACCCCGCUGUUCUGACGGUACCCAAAGAAUAAGCACCGGCUAACUUCGUG
RNAcentral lists this ribosomal RNA (492 nucleotides) under uncultured bacterium. RNAcentral's name for it is "partial 16S ribosomal RNA". It matches the Rfam family "Bacterial small subunit ribosomal RNA", at positions 29 to 507 of the family's 1533-position model. The record is from RNAcentral.